GGUCAAGCGAAUAAGCGCAUACGGUGGAUGCCUAGGCAGUUGGAGGCGAUAAAGGACGUUGUAGCCCGCGAUAUGCCUCGGGGAGGUGGCAAACAACCUUUGAUCCGAGGAUUUCCGAAUGGGGAAACCCGAUGCGCGCUUGCGCGCGUCAUUACUCGUUGAAUAUAUAGGCGAGUAAAGCUAACCCGGGGAACUGAACCAUCUAAGUACCCGGAGGAAAAGAAAUCAACCGAGAUUCCCUUAGUAGCGGCGAGCGAAAGGGGACCAGCCAGCAGUCUUUAUUCUUUGAGUCAGGGGAAUAUUCUGGAAAGUUUAGCGAUACAGGGUGAUAGCCCCGUACCCGAAAACCCGAAGAAAGAACUAAGUCUGCAGCAAGUAGGUCGGAGCACGUGAAACUUUGACUGAAGAUGGGGGGACCAUCCUCCAAGGCUAAAUACUCCCAACUGACCGAUAGUGAACCAGUACCGUGAGGGAAAGGCGAAAAGAACCCCGGAGAGGGGAGUGAAAUAGAUCCUGAAACCGUUUGCGUACAAGCAGUCAGAGCCUUGUCAUUUAGUCGCUUGCGACUCUUUGACGGGUGAUGGCGUACCUUUUGUAUAAUGGGUCAGCGACUUACUUUCAGUGGCAAGCUUAACCUUUUUUGGGAAGGCGCAGGGAAACCGAGUCUUAAUAGGGCGAAUCAGUCGCUGGGAGUAGACCCGAAACCGGGCGAUCUAUCCAUGGCCAGGGUGAAGGUUCGGUAACACGGACUGGAAGCCCGAACCCACCUAUGUUGAAAAAUGGGGGGAUGAGCUGUGGAUCGGAGUGAAAGGCUAAUCAAGCCCGGAGAUAGCUGGUUCUCCUCGAAAACUAUUUAGGUAGUGCCUCAUGUAUCACUCUCGGGGGUAGAGCACUGUUUCGGCUAGGGGGCCAUCCCGGCUUAUCAACCCGAUGCAAACUCCAAAUACCGAGAAGUGCAAUCAUGGGAGACAGACGGCGGGUGCUAACGUCCGUCGUCGAAAGGGAAACAACCCAGACCGCCAGCUAAGGUCCCUAAAUAACAGUUAAGUGGGAAACGAUGUGGGAAGGCUAAAACAGCCAGGAGGUUGGCUUAGAAGCAGCCACCCUUUAAAGAAAGCGUAACAGCUCACUGGUCGAGUCGGCCCGCGCGGAAGAUUUACCGGGGCUUAAACUGUUUACCGAAGCUGCGGGUACGUGGCCGUUCGCGGUUACGUACGGUAGAGGAGCGUUCUGUACGCCGUUGAAGGUGUGCUGUAAAGCAUGCUGGAGGUAUCAGAAGUGCGAAUGCUGACAUGAGUAACGAUAAGGGAGGUGAAAAACCUCCCCGCCGGAAGACCAAGGUUUCCUGCGCAACGCUAAUCGGCGCAGGGUAAGUCGGCCCCUAAGGCGAGGCGGAAACGCGUAGUCGAUGGGAAGCAGGUUAAUAUUCCUGCACUUACAUUCAUUGCGAUGGAGGGACGGAGAAGGCUAGGCCAGCAAGGCGAUGGUUGUCCUUGUUCAAGCGUGUAGGCUGGAGAUUUUGGUAAAUCCGGAUCUCCUUAAGGCUGAGGCGCGAUAACGACCUGAUCUAAAGUAUCGGGGAAGUGGCUCAUGCCAUGCUUCCAGGAAAAGCUCCUAAGCUUCAGAUGAAUGUAAACCGUACCCCAAACCGACACAGGUGGUCGGGUAGAGUAUACCAAGGCGCUUGAGAGAACUCGGGUGAAGGAACUAGGCAAAAUGGCACCGUAACUUCGGGAGAAGGUGCGCCGCGAAUGGUGAUGGGACUUGCUCCCUGAGCUGUCCGCGGUCGAAGAUACCAGGUGGCUGCGACUGUUUAUUAAAAACACAGCACUCUGCAAACUCGUAAGAGGACGUAUAGGGUGUGACGCCUGCCCGGUGCCGGAAGGUUAAUUGAUCGGGUUAGAGGACUUGUCCUCGAAGCUCGUGAUCGAAGCCCCGGUAAACGGCGGCCGUAACUAUAACGGUCCUAAGGUAGCGAAAUUCCUUGUCGGGUAAGUUCCGACCUGCACGAAUGGCGUAACGAUGGCCACGCUGUCUCCACCCGAGACUCAGUGAAAUUGAAUUUGCGGUUAAGAUGCCGUAUACCCGCGGCUAGACGGAAAGACCCCGUGAACCUUUACUAUAGCUUCACACUGGACUCUGAUUUUAUUUGUGUAGGAUAGGUGGGAGACUUUGAAGCCGGAACGCAAGUUCCGGUGGAGUCGACCUUGAAAUACCACCCUGGUAACGUUGGGGUUCUAACGCCGGUCCCUUAUCGGGAUCGCGGACAGUGUGUGGUGGGUAGUUUGACUGGGGCGGUCUCCUCCCAAAGAGUAACGGAGGAGCGCGAAGGUACCCUCAGCAUGGUCGGAAAUCAUGCAAUGAGUGCAAUAGCAGAAGGGUGCUUGACUGCGAGACAGACACGUCGAGCAGGUAGGAAACUAGGUUAUAGUGAUCCGGUGGCUCUGUAUGGAAGGGCCAUCGCUCAACGGAUAAAAGGUACUCCGGGGAUAACAGGCUGAUACCGCCCAAGAGUUCACAUCGACGGCGGUGUUUGGCACCUCGAUGUCGGCUCAUCACAUCCUGGGGCUGAAGCCGGUCCCAAGGGUAUGGCUGUUCGCCAUUUAAA
RNAcentral lists this ribosomal RNA (2608 nucleotides) under Nitrospinaceae bacterium. RNAcentral's name for it is "partial 23S ribosomal RNA". It matches the Rfam family "Bacterial large subunit ribosomal RNA", at positions 1 to 2592 of the family's 2925-position model. The record is from RNAcentral. Lineage: Bacteria; Pseudomonadati; Nitrospinota; Nitrospinia; Nitrospinales; Nitrospinaceae.